Molecule: ribosomal RNA, 253 nt
Filed under: uncultured bacterium
Lineage: Bacteria
Description: partial 16S ribosomal RNA
Rfam family: Bacterial small subunit ribosomal RNA
Source: RNAcentral
UACGAAGGGGGCUAGCGUUGUUCGGAUUUACUGGGCGUAAAGCGCACGCAGGCGGAUUGUUAAGUCAGGGGUGAAAUCCCGGAGCUCAACUCCGGGACUGCCUUUGAUACUGAAGAUCUUGAGUUCGGGAGAGGUGAGUGGAACUGCGAGUGUAGAGGUGAAAUUCGUAGAUAUUCGCAAGAACACCAGUGGCGAAGGCGGCUCACUGGCCCGAUACUGACGCUGAGGCACGAAAGCGUGGGGAGCAAACAGG